AGCAGCCGCGGUAAUUCCAGCUCCAAUAGCGUAUAUUAAAGUUGUUGCAGUUAAAAAGCUCGUAGUUGAAUUUCGGGAUCAAUAUGUUGGUCGUGCCUCGGUACGUACUGGCAUUAUUGGUUUCUACCUUCUGAAGAACCUCGAUGUCAUUAAUUUGGUGUCUUGGGGAAUCAGGACUGUUACUUUGAAAAAAUUAGAGUGUUUAAAGCAGGCUCACGCUUGAAUACAUUAGCAUGGAAUAAUGAAAUAGGACGUUUGAUUCUAUUUUGUUGGUUUCUAGGAUCGACGUAAUGAUUAAUAGGGAUAGUUGGGGGCAUUAGUAUUCAAUUGUCAGAGGUGAAAUUCUUGGAUUUAUUGAAGACUGACUACUGCGAAAGCAUUUGCCAAGGAUGUUUUCAUUAAUCAAGAACGAAAGUUAGGGGAUCGAAGACGAUCAGAUACCGUCGUAGUCUUAACCAUAAACUAUGCCGACUAGGGAUCGGAUGAUGUUAAUUUUUUAAUGACUCAUUCGGCGCCUUACG
This 521-nucleotide ribosomal RNA is filed under the name uncultured Glomeraceae. Its description in RNAcentral is "SSU rRNA". It matches the Rfam family "Eukaryotic small subunit ribosomal RNA", at positions 569 to 1092 of the family's 1831-position model. Lineage: Eukaryota; Fungi; Glomeromycota; Glomeromycetes; Glomerales; Glomeraceae. The record is from RNAcentral.